RNAcentral lists this ribosomal RNA (142 nucleotides) under uncultured eukaryote. RNAcentral describes it as "partial 18S ribosomal RNA". It matches the Rfam family "Eukaryotic small subunit ribosomal RNA", at positions 1299 to 1458 of the family's 1831-position model. The record is from RNAcentral.
UGGUGGAGUGAUUUGUCUGGUUAAUUCCGUUAACGAACGAGACCUCGACCUGCUAAAUAGCUCGGUCCACCCUCCGGGGUGGGCGCGCGGCUUCUUAGAGGGACUAUCGGUGCGUAGCCGAUGGAAGUUCGAGGCAAUAACA